This 875-nucleotide unclassified non-coding RNA is filed under the name uncultured bacterium. RNAcentral describes it as "partial contains 16S ribosomal RNA, 16S-23S ribosomal RNA intergenic spacer, and 23S ribosomal RNA". The stretch from base 740 to 875 matches the Rfam family "Bacterial large subunit ribosomal RNA", at positions 1 to 135 of the family's 2925-position model. The record is from RNAcentral.
CUUUCUAAGGAGUUGCUCGGGGCGAAAGCCCAGAGCGACACCAGUCCAAUCCGUUCCGUUGGUCGAGCCGUUCUCGGCUCGGCGUGACUUCUCCGUUCGAGGGAAGUCGCCUUCUCGAUGGAUGAUGUUCGGUUUUCAGAGUCCGAGGCGAUCUCGGCUCUGUGAAAAAGAGCGCUUUGGAGCCUGUUCGGGCGUAGGCUUGAGAACCGUCUCGGGCCAGCCCAAACCGCCGGGCCUAUAGCUCAGCUGGUUAGAGCGCACGCCUGAUAAGCGUGAGGUCGCUAGUUCAAGUCUAGCUAGGCCCACUGUCUGAAAUCGGGGCCGUAGCUCAGCUGGGAGAGCGCGGGCUUUGCAAGCCUGAGGUCGUCGGUUCGAUCCCGAUCGGCUCCAACUAGGGUACCCCGGCGGGGCGGAGCUCCGCCGGUCCCCUCUUCGUUCGCCUUCGGCUCUGUGCGCGCUUCGCUUGCGGAGCGGCUUUGGGGCGUGGACGAAUGCGGAGGUUGGCUCAUGCCGGUUGGGCAUGGGUUGGCUCUGAAGUGUGCUGCCGGCCGUGGGUCGGCGGCAGGCGGCUCUUUGAAAAGAGAAUAGGAAUGAACGCGCACACGCGAGUGUGUGCGGAGAAGACGCCGAUGGGGCUCACGCGCGCGAGCACGUGAGCUUUAUCCACCGACGAGAAUAGGCGACGUCGCGAGUUUUUGAACGGUUGGGCCUUGGGGCCCUGUGUUCGACGAGCAGCGACGGUCAAGCUACGAAGGGCUGAUGGUGGAUGCCUAGGCGCGCAGAGGCGAAGAAGGACGUGGCUAGCUGCGAAAAUCUCCGGAGAGGUGCUAAGCAACCUUUGACCCGGAGGUGUCCGAAUGGGGAAACCCGGAAGC